UGGGGAAUAUUGCACAAUGGGCGCAAGCCUGAUGCAGCCAUGCCGCGUGUGUGAAGAAGGCCUUCGGGUUGUAAAGCACUUUCAGCGGGGAGGAAGGCGAUAAGGUUAAUAACCUUAUCAAUUGACGUUACCCGCAGAAGAAGCACCGGCUAACUCCGUGCCAGCAGCCGCGGUAAUACGGAGGGUGCAAGCGUUAAUCGGAAUUACUGGGCGUAAAGCGCACGCAGGCGGUCUGUCAAGUCGGAUGUGAAAUCCCCGGGCUCAACCUGGGAACUGCAUUCGAAACUGGCAGGCUAGAGUCUUGUAGAGGGGGGUAGAAUUCCAGGUGUAGCGGUGAAAUGCGUAGAGAUCUGGAGGAAUACCGGUGGCGAAGGCGGCCCCCUGGACGAAGACUGACGCUCAGGUGCGAAAGCGUGGGGAGCAAACAGG
Molecule: ribosomal RNA, 429 nt
Filed under: Chloroflexota bacterium
Lineage: Bacteria; Bacillati; Chloroflexota
Description: Chloroflexi bacterium partial 16S ribosomal RNA
Rfam family: Bacterial small subunit ribosomal RNA
Source: RNAcentral